CCUGGGUCAAGCUGAGUAUCUCCACGUUUAGGUGCACAAAUACUAUUUUGUGAAGAUCUUAAAUUUGUGGUAUAAGAACUUGAAGGAAAUAGAACUGAUUUGUUACUUCUAAAAGGUUUGUAAGACUCCAGGGCCUCCCAGCCGUGAAUAAUCUGAUGGUUCCUGAAAUGACUGGGGAAGCAGACGCUUCGUAUGGCAGUUGAAGAGUGUGUGUCUAUGUGCAUUUAAAACCUUCUUUCUGUACUUACACAUUCACACGGGAAGACAGGCUCAUUCUUGUGCACACUUGAGAGUUUUACAACUGAUGAAAAUUAAUUUAAGAAUCAGAUGGAGCAACUUGACACCAGUGGGCUCAGGAGCCCGGGGAGAAAAAUACAUCACUAAUGGCCAGUUUUCCAUAUGGUCUGCACGGGUAAAGAAAGUC
RNAcentral lists this long non-coding RNA (424 nucleotides) under Homo sapiens (human). Its description in RNAcentral is "HSALNT0115766". The record is from RNAcentral. Lineage: Eukaryota; Metazoa; Chordata; Mammalia; Primates; Hominidae.